GAUGAAUUUAAAGCUUAUAAAAAUGGAGCUUGAGCUUGUCGAGGCUGAGAUAUGUCUGGAUGAAGCAAUGGAAGACAUGGAAAUCGAGCUGAAAAAGAAGCAAAAAGAGGAAGCAACCGCAGAAGGGAAGGGCGGAGAUGGAUUAUCUACUGAAGGUCAGGAUGAAGCAGAUUCGGAUGAUGGAGACGAUGAUGGGGAGGAUGAAGCGGCACCCUCAAGUUUUGGCACGGUUGGUCGAACAGAAACGGAGGACACUGUGAAAUCUGAAGGAGGCAAUUUUGGGAAGUCUUCGUUCUCUUCUCUAUCCCUAUCGCUAGCUUCUUGCAGUCCGUCUGUA
Molecule: unclassified non-coding RNA, 337 nt
Filed under: Hevea brasiliensis (rubber tree)
Lineage: Eukaryota; Viridiplantae; Streptophyta; Magnoliopsida; Malpighiales; Euphorbiaceae
Source: RNAcentral